CUUACAGCAAGUGAUAAGCAGCUACAAUACUAUGAGGUGAAGGAAUCGGAUCUGCGAGACAACGAAUGGCUUUAUCUGUAUGCUGAACUUGUAUUAUUCUCCAAGUGGGCAAUGGACCUUAGCGCUUAUUUGCCGGUGAAGAUGAAGAAAGUUGUGGUACGAACAAGGGAAGAUGUAGAGUCGAGUAAGAAGCUCAGGUCAAAGAAUGCAACUUUCUACCUGAGUUUCACGUCUUGUGGGGGUCUUGAAUGCAGAGGCAUAAUAAGGCGGACAACAGAUGGAAUACCACAACACAUGAGCCUUCAAGUUAAAUGUUGGAUCGACAGUUAGAGAGAGAUAGACGGUCCUUUUUUCCUUCUAUUUAAUUCAUCUUUGCCUAUGUUAAAAUAAUCCUGAGAUGUUAUAUUAUCUGAAGCAACCACUUAAUUUGUUUGAAUG
Molecule: long non-coding RNA, 438 nt
Organism: Brassica oleracea var. oleracea
Lineage: Eukaryota; Viridiplantae; Streptophyta; Magnoliopsida; Brassicales; Brassicaceae
Exons: 3
Source: RefSeq, a predicted model, not a curated record